RNAcentral lists this ribosomal RNA (446 nucleotides) under uncultured bacterium. RNAcentral's name for it is "bacterial SSU rRNA". It matches the Rfam family "Bacterial small subunit ribosomal RNA", at positions 330 to 792 of the family's 1533-position model. The record is from RNAcentral.
GCCAGACUCCUACGGGAGGCAGCAGUGGGGGAUAUUGCACAAUGGGGGGAACCCUGAUGCAGCGACGCCGCGUGGGUGAAGAAGUAUUUCGGUAUGUAAAGCCCUAUCGGCAGGGAAGAAAUUGGACGGUACCAGACUAAGAAGCCCCGGCUAACUACGUGCCAGCAGCCGCGGUAAUACGUAGGGGGCAAGCGUUAUCCGGAUUCACUGGGUGUAAAGGGAGCGUAGACGGCCAUGCAAGCCUGGAGUGAAAGCCCGGGGCCCAACCCCGGGACUGCUCUGGGAACUGUGCGGCUGGAGUGCGGGAGGGGCAGGCGGAAUUCCUGGUGUAGCGGUGAAAUGCGUAGAUAUCAGGAGGAACACCGGCGGCGAAGGCGGCCUGCUGGACCGCGACUGACGUUGAGGCUCGAAAGCGUGGGGAGCAAACAGGAUUAGAUACCCGUGUA